GCCCGGGUGGCGGAAUUGGCAGACGCGACGGACUCAAAAUCCGUUGGGCUUCGGCUCUUGAGGGUUCGAAUCCCUCCCCGGGCA
This 84-nucleotide transfer RNA is filed under the name Gemmatimonadota bacterium. Its description in RNAcentral is "Gemmatimonadetes bacterium tRNA-Leu". It matches the Rfam family "tRNA". From Rfam's summary of the family: Transfer RNA (tRNA) molecules are approximately 80 nucleotides in length. RNAcentral also lists the same sequence under 3 other names. The record is from RNAcentral. Lineage: Bacteria; Pseudomonadati; Gemmatimonadota.